GACAGAGGGUGCAAACGUUGUCCGGAAUACUGGGCGUAAAGCGCGUGUAGGCGGUCUCGCAAGUCGGAUGUGAAAGCCCAGGGCUCAACCCUGGAAGUGCACUCGAUACUGCGAGGCUAGAGUCCCGGAGAGGAUGGUGGAACUCUCGGUGUAGAGGUGAAAUUCGUAGAUAUCGAGAAGAACACCGGUGGCGAAGGCGGCCAUCUGGACGGUGACUGACGCUGAGACGCGAAAGCGUGGGGAGCAAACAGG
RNAcentral lists this ribosomal RNA (252 nucleotides) under uncultured bacterium. RNAcentral describes it as "partial 16S ribosomal RNA". It matches the Rfam family "Bacterial small subunit ribosomal RNA", at positions 524 to 776 of the family's 1533-position model. The record is from RNAcentral.